Molecule: long non-coding RNA, 1008 nt
Filed under: Homo sapiens (human)
Lineage: Eukaryota; Metazoa; Chordata; Mammalia; Primates; Hominidae
Description: HSALNT0255232
Source: RNAcentral
GAGAAACGAGAUGGGGGUGAAGCUGGAGAUAUUUCGGGUCAGUGGACACAGGAGUGGGUUGGGAGGCUGGGCAGGGGAUCUUCCUGGAUCUGAAGAUGAGGUUGGAAAUGGGGGGACUUCAAAGGAAGAGGGAGCUCCAAGGAGAAAGCUCUUAAGAUUUGAGAGGAACCUUUCUGGUUGGAAAUCCAGGAGAGGGGACGCUGGGCUGGGGGGGUUCUCGGAUUUGGGCUUCUGGGUUUGGGGGCUGUGAGAGGGCUGGUCCGAGGAAGGACCUCAGAGAGGGGUGAGCUGAGAAGGGGGCUCUAAAGAAGGAAGACUUAAGAUCCUGGGGGAGCUCUCGGGCUCGUGGUGGGUGGGUGUCUAUGACAGGGAGAUUCCUAGACUUCGAGAAGUGGAGUUGAAGAGUGACGCCUCCUGGGUUUGGGGGUGCUCCCGGGAUCUUAAGUGGGGAUGGGUAAUGAGGUCUCGAGGAGAUGCUUUUGAUUGUAGCUGGGGCGUCUGUGUGUCUGUCUGUGUUUGAGAGGAAGACUCCAGCUCAGAGGGAACUUUCAGGAAUGAGGCCUCCUGGAUUAUAGGAGUUAGGUUUUAGGGUGCGAGGUUUCUGUACCCUUGGUGGGAGUUCUGGGAUUCUUGGGUCGGCCGUAACGAGGCGCUUCUGGACUCUGCAGUAGGAUGGGUCCCCCAGGCUCUGAGGAGCCUCUGCACAUUGCUUGGGGGGAGCUCACCUCACCCACCCUCUGCCAUUCCAGAUGAUAAUCUACCUCACUUUCCCUGUGGCUAUGUUCUGGGUUUCCAAUCAGGCCGAGUGGUUUGAGGACGAUGUCAUACAGCGCAAGAGGGAGCUGUGGCCACCUGAGAAGCUUCAAGAGAUAGAGGAAUUCAAAGAGAGGUUACGGAAGCGGCGGGAGGAGAAGCUCCUUCGCGACGCCCAGCAGAACUCCUGAGGCCUCCAAGUGGGAGUCCUAGCCCCUCCCCUGAUGAAAUAUACAUAUACUCAGUUCCUUGUUA